GAGUAUAGCAAUUAUACUUGCUAUAUAACAUUGCAUAGCUCAAUCCUAAAUACAUCAAUCUCUUUGUUGUUCAACAAAACUAAUUAGUCCAUUCACGAAUUUAUCAUUACAUCCUCUUGGAUAACAUCAAGCUAAAAUUGCAUAUGCAAGCUACUAGUAUCAUGAACACGUAGUACUUUAACAUGUAACCAUGUAGAGCGAACAAGUCAUGAAUCUUUCAUUACUGUUUAAAGAUGCUAUCAUAUCCGAUAUGAUCUACACAUCAAUGCAUAACGCAAUACCCUGAACUAUACAUAUAUUCACAUGAAUAUGGAAUAACUUCAACUCAGAUGUCAAAGGAGACAUAGAGGGAAUUCACCCAUUUUGGGAAGGUCAGACCCACCUAUCAC
This 389-nucleotide long non-coding RNA is filed under the name Ananas comosus (pineapple). RNAcentral's name for it is "long non-coding RNA (ACOM_LNC030249)". Lineage: Eukaryota; Viridiplantae; Streptophyta; Magnoliopsida; Poales; Bromeliaceae. The record is from RNAcentral.